UGGGGAAUUUUGGACAAUGGGCGAAAGCCUGAUCCAGCAAUGCCGCGUGUGUGAAGAAGGCCUUCGGGUUGUAAAGCACUUUUGUCCGGAAAGAAAUCCUUGGCUCUAAUACAGUCGGGGGAUGACGGUACCGGAAGAAUAAGCACCGGCUAACUACGUGCCAGCAGCCGCGGUAAUACGUAGGGUGCAAGCGUUAAUCGGAAUUACUGGGCGUAAAGCGUGCGCAGGCGGUUUGCUAAGACCGAUGUGAAAUCCCCGGGCUCAACCUGGGAACUGCAUUGGUGACUGGCAGGCUAGAGUAUGGCAGAGGGGGGUAGAAUUCCACGUGUAGCAGUGAAAUGCGUAGAGAUGUGGAGGAAUACCGAUGGCGAAGGCAGCCCCCUGGGCCAAUACUGACGCUCAUGCACGAAAGCGUGGGGAGCAAACAGGAUUAGAUACCCUGGUAGUCCACGCCCUAAAACGAUGUCAACUAGUUGUUGGGGAUUCAUUUCCUUAGUAACGUAGCUAACGCGUGAAGUUGACCGCCUGGGGGAGUACGGUCGCAAGAUUAAAAACUCAAAUAAAUUGACGGGGUCAUAGCUGUUUCCU
RNAcentral lists this ribosomal RNA (588 nucleotides) under uncultured bacterium. RNAcentral describes it as "partial 16S ribosomal RNA". It matches the Rfam family "Bacterial small subunit ribosomal RNA", at positions 355 to 1375 of the family's 1533-position model. The record is from RNAcentral.